UAGGGAAUCUUCGGCAAUGGACGAAAGUCUGACCGAGCAACGCCGCGUGAGUGAAGAAGGUUUUCGGAUCGUAAAACUCUGUUGUUAGAGAAGAACAAGGACGUUAGUAACUGAACGUCCCCUGACGGUAUCUAACCAGAAAGCCACGGCUAACUACGUGCCAGCAGCCGCGGUAAUACGUAGGUGGCAAGCAUUGUCCGGAUUUAUUGGGCGUAAAGCGAGCGCAGGCGGUUUCUUAAGUCUGAUGUGAAAGCCCCCGGCUCAACCGGGGAGGGUCAUUGGAAACUGGGAGACUUGAGUGCAGAAGAGGAGAGUGGAAUUCCAUGUGUAGCGGUGAAAUGCGUAGAUAUAUGGAGGAACACCAGUGGCGAAGGCGGCUCUCUGGUCUGUAACUGACGCUGAGGCUCGAAAGCGUGGGGAGCAAACAGG
RNAcentral lists this ribosomal RNA (429 nucleotides) under Gemmatimonadota bacterium. RNAcentral's name for it is "Gemmatimonadetes bacterium partial 16S ribosomal RNA". It matches the Rfam family "Bacterial small subunit ribosomal RNA", at positions 355 to 776 of the family's 1533-position model. The record is from RNAcentral. Lineage: Bacteria; Pseudomonadati; Gemmatimonadota.